This 253-nucleotide ribosomal RNA is filed under the name uncultured bacterium. RNAcentral's name for it is "partial 16S ribosomal RNA". It matches the Rfam family "Bacterial small subunit ribosomal RNA", at positions 524 to 776 of the family's 1533-position model. The record is from RNAcentral.
UACGUAGGGGGCAAGCGUUGUCCGGAUUUAUUGGGCGUAAAGAGCGUGUAGGCGGUUUGGUAGGUCCGCUGUGAAAACUCGAGGCUCAACCUCGAGACGCCGGUGGAAACCAUCAGGCUAGAGUCCGGAAGAGGAGAGUGGAAUUCCUGGUGUAGCGGUGAAAUGCGCAGAUAUCAGGAAGAACACCCGUGGCUAAGGCGGCUCUCUAGUACGGUACUGACGCUGAGACGCGAAGGCCAGGGGAGCAAACGGG